GCACUUAAAGAUGGGCGUACGGCUGAUUAGGUAGUUGGCGGGGUAACGGCCCACCAAGCCUGCGAUCAGUAGCUGAUGUGAGAGCAUGAUCAGCCACACGGGCACUGAGACACGGGCCCG
RNAcentral lists this ribosomal RNA (120 nucleotides) under uncultured bacterium. Its description in RNAcentral is "partial 16S ribosomal RNA". It matches the Rfam family "Bacterial small subunit ribosomal RNA", at positions 215 to 334 of the family's 1533-position model. The record is from RNAcentral.